Molecule: ribosomal RNA, 443 nt
Filed under: Sinochauliodes maculosus
Lineage: Eukaryota; Metazoa; Arthropoda; Insecta; Megaloptera; Corydalidae
Description: partial large subunit ribosomal RNA
Source: RNAcentral
CUGAAAUUUUUGAAGGGCCGCGGUAUUUUGACUGUGCAAAGGUAGCAUAAUCAUUAGUCUUUUAAUUGGAGGCUUGUAUGAAUGGUUGGAUGAGGUAUUAACUGUCUCAAUUUAAUAAAUAAUAGAAUUUUAUUUUUAAGUUAAAAAGCUUAAAUAUUAUUAAAAGACGAGAAGACCCUAUAGAUCUUUAUAAUUAGAUUUAUAAUAAUUUUUUGGAUUAAAUUUAUUUUUAUAGAAAUAAUUAUUAUAUUGGGGUGAUAAAAAAAUUUGUUAAACUUUUUUUUAAUAUAAACAAUAAUAUUUGAUUAGUUGAUCCAUUUUUUGUGAUUAUAAGAUUAAGUUACCUUAGGGAUAACAGCGUAAUUUUUUUGGAGAGUUCUUAUCGAUAAAAAAGAUUGCGACCUCGAUGUUGAAUUAAAGGUUAAUUUUAGGUGUAGAAGUUU